GGGCCCGCACAAGCGGUGGAGUAUGUGGUUUAAUUCGAUGCAACACGAAGAACCUUACCAGGGUUUGAAAUCAUUUCAAAACUCCUUGAAAGAGGAGCCUCCUUCGGGAUGAAAUGACAGGUGGUGCAUGGCUGUCGUCAGCUCGUGUUGUGAAAUGUCGAGUUAAGUCUCGUAACGAGCGCAACCCAUGUCUCUUGUUGCUCACUGAGUGCUUAAGAGAGACUGCCGACCAACAUCGGAGGAAGGUGUGGAUGAUGUCAAGUCAGCAUGCCCCUUACAUCCUGGGCUACACACGUACUACAAUGGUAAGGACAAUGAGCUGCAAGUUCGCGAGGACAAGCAAA
Molecule: ribosomal RNA, 344 nt
Filed under: uncultured bacterium
Lineage: Bacteria
Description: bacterial SSU rRNA
Rfam family: Bacterial small subunit ribosomal RNA
Source: RNAcentral